GAUGAACGCUGGCGGCGUGCCUAAUACAUGCAAGUCGAGCGAACGGACGAGAAGCUGGCUUCUCUGAUGUUAGCGGCGGACGGGUGAGUAACACGGGGAUAACCUACCUAUAAGACGGGGAUAACGUCGGGGAACCGGAGCUAAUACCGGCGAAUAUUUUGAACCGCAUGGUUCAAAAGUGAAAGACGGUCUUGCUGUCACUUAUAGAUGGAUCCGCGCUGCAUUAGCUAGUUGGUAAGGUAACGGCUUACCAAGGCAACGAUGCAUAGCCGACCUGAGAGGGUGAUCGGCCACACUGGAACUGAGACACGGUCCAGACUCCUACGGGAGGCAGCAGUAGGGAAUCUUCCGCAAUGGGCGAAAGCCUGACGGAGCAACGCCGCGUGAGUGAUGAAGGUCUUCGGAUCGUAAAACUCUGUUAUUCGGGAAGAACAUAUGUGUAAGUAACUGUGCACAUCUUGACGGUACCUAAUCAGAAAGCAACGGCUAACUACGUG
This 497-nucleotide ribosomal RNA is filed under the name uncultured bacterium. RNAcentral's name for it is "partial 16S ribosomal RNA". It matches the Rfam family "Bacterial small subunit ribosomal RNA", at positions 28 to 507 of the family's 1533-position model. The record is from RNAcentral.